GGGGUGAAUACAGACCGAUUAACCGAACCAUUAUUCUAUUAUUAAAACUGAACUGAUCUUAUCGAUUUUAUAAAAAACCAAAUCGAAACUGAAUCGGUUAGAUUGGCUAAUCGGUCAACUAGUUAUUCGAUCUGACCAGUUUGGUUUUUCAAUUUUUUGAUUUUUUUUCUAUGUAAAACAUGUUUCAAAUUGCAAAUAAGUGACAUAAAAGGCCAGUAAAUAAGGAUAGAAACAUCAUGUGAGAUAAGGAGAUGAAGAGAUAAGGACUCAAAGAGAGGGGGGUACAUGGCUAUGUGCACG
Molecule: long non-coding RNA, 300 nt
Filed under: Elaeis guineensis (African oil palm)
Lineage: Eukaryota; Viridiplantae; Streptophyta; Magnoliopsida; Arecales; Arecaceae
Description: long non-coding RNA (EGUI_LNC009271)
Source: RNAcentral